Molecule: small RNA, 259 nt
Filed under: Arabidopsis thaliana (thale cress)
Lineage: Eukaryota; Viridiplantae; Streptophyta; Magnoliopsida; Brassicales; Brassicaceae
Description: ATSL153030
Source: RNAcentral
UCUUUACGUUGAAUAAGACCAUGUACAUAGGAGAUUUUUUGUGGGUAUCAUAAGCCUAAAAAUAUUAAAUUAAUAGACAAAGCAACUGAUUUGGACUUGAGAAGUAUCACUGGAGUGAUAUUUCUGAUACCUGUCUCUAAUGACGUGGCGACUUGUAAUUAGUCGAAAAAACGCGUUUUUGUGGAAAAUGAGAGAAAAAAAAAUUAUUUGCUCUCGACUAUCGCUCCAGUAGCCGAUGCUAGCAUGUAAUUUCGAUUUU